ACUUCUUCAGUAUACGAUGUACUUUUACCUUCCAAGUAAAGAGAUUAAUUAAAUUAAAAGAAGA
RNAcentral lists this transfer RNA (64 nucleotides) under Glycera fallax. Its description in RNAcentral is "tRNA-Gly". The record is from RNAcentral. Lineage: Eukaryota; Metazoa; Annelida; Polychaeta; Phyllodocida; Glyceridae.